AGAAGCGUCAGCAUUCGCGCAGCAAGAAACACACUCUGGCGUAGGCCGAUAGAGCAUAGACCUGGCUUUGUUCAAGAAGGAGAAUACUCCACUGAAGUCUUUCUCGUACCACUCUUCAAGGUCGUCACGCGGAUAGUGGCCCUGCCGCUCCACAUGCCGCUUCUGGUGCUGGGCCCGCA
This is a long non-coding RNA of Dermacentor andersoni, 179 nucleotides long. RefSeq lists it as uncharacterized. NCBI's taxonomy places the organism in Eukaryota, Metazoa, Arthropoda, Arachnida, Ixodida, Ixodidae. The record is from RefSeq and is a predicted model, not a curated record.